RNAcentral lists this ribosomal RNA (260 nucleotides) under Meloidogyne incognita (southern root-knot nematode). RNAcentral describes it as "5.8S ribosomal RNA". The stretch from base 105 to 258 matches the Rfam family "5.8S ribosomal RNA". Rfam says of the family: 5.8S ribosomal RNA (5.8S rRNA) is a component of the large subunit of the eukaryotic ribosome. It is transcribed by RNA polymerase I as part of the 45S precursor that also contains 18S and 28S rRNA. Lineage: Eukaryota; Metazoa; Nematoda; Chromadorea; Rhabditida; Meloidogynidae. The record is from RNAcentral.
GUGACAUGUUAGGACUCUAAUGAGUUUAAGACCUAAUGAGCCUCUUAAGUGAGGCCGCCAGCAACCUUUUUUUUCUUUACAUUUUAAAAAAAAAACUAAAAUUCUACCCUUAUCGGUGGAUCACUAGGCUCGUGGAUCGAUGAAGAACGCAGCAAACUGCGAUAAUUAUUGCGAACUGCAGAAGUAUUGAGCACAAAAGUUUUGAACGCAAAUGGCCGCAUUGAGGUCAAACUCUUUGCAACGUCUGGUUCAGGGUCAUU